This is a long non-coding RNA of Anser brachyrhynchus (Pink-footed goose), 1587 nucleotides long. The record is from Ensembl. Lineage: Eukaryota; Metazoa; Chordata; Aves; Anseriformes; Anatidae.
AGAAGAUAUUGAACUGCAUCUAAUGUUAAUAUGUCCUUUCUUAAAUUAAACAUCUUUCUUUCCCCCAAGAUUAUGCCUUUAUCAUGUUUUCAUAAUAACCAGAUAUUUUAAUCUCUUAAUAGUGCAUAUCUAAACACUCUUCAAGCCUAGCCUUUUAAAAAUGGUGGCCUUGAUGAGGCCCAUCAGUGUGAGAGGUCUCAGCUGCUCACUGCUCUCUGCUCUGACCAGCUGCUUGAAAGCCCAUAUCUAGCACAGAAAUCUGCUAGUGCUGGUGCUUGAGCAGUGCCCUGGUUUGGCAGUACAGCUGUGGGAUCCACUGGGAAUGAGUCUUGCAUGGUCUCCUAGAACUGGGAGAAGAGAAAUGGCCUGGAGAGACAGGAGAAGCCAGGGGAAGCGCUUGCUGCUGCCCUUUGGGGUGGCUAGCACAACUCUCCCACCCUGCCAGACCCAUUAUCCACUGCCAAACUACUCGGAGCUUGAGAUGCUGGUUCACUUCGGGAGCUACAGGGCCUGGUAAAAUUCGUAUGCUUACAAAGAGUUUAGAGCUUUAUGAAACUGCUGCCAUGGCUUAAUAUGGAACUGAAUUGCACUAUUUCAUAAUUGCCUUGUACCAGGAAGUGGGCAAUAUUUUUCUUCCCAUUAAAUUACAGCGGAAAGUGGCAUCAACCUAUUGGAAAUUUCAGCUUCCACCCACUGAUCCUCCAAGUUAAUUACCAGUAUCAUUGGCUUCAGCUCAGCAAACCACACCUGCUAAGCAAGACAUUGAAAGUAGAUAGUCUUAAAAUUAAAUACGUGCUUAAGCCCUCUUUCUCCUGUCAGUAGUUUUUUGCAUGCACUUGCUGUCACUCUGAAUAGAGACUUACAGAUUUAUACACAUCUGAAGUCUUGCUCUGUUGUGAACUUGCCCCCUAUUUAGCAUCGAAACAGCUAACGCUCAUCCUUAUUUUAAUUUGAAAAACCUUAGCCUGUUUGACUUUUUGCUCUUCUGCUGGCACCAGAGCUGCCUCCAAUGUUUCUCCGUUGGUCGGGAGUGACGAUUGAAAACAGUAGUGUUAAAUUCCCCCACUUGGUGGCACUAACAAAUAACACAACUGCCCUGGAAAACGCGGCUGUAAAACGUGGCCAAGUGGUUGGUGAUAAACGAACCCAGUGGCCCUGAGAAAGGAAGACAUCAAGUGAGCAGUAAUCCCAUAGCUGUUUUGCUAGUCGUAAACGUUGGUAAGUUUUGAGCAUGGAGCAUACCGGCUGGGAUGUAAUUUCUGCACUUGGACAUGCAGAGCAAAUCUCUUCCCUCACCGCUGACUCUGGUGGCAGGUGCUCUGCACUUCUCUCACGUUUGCGGCUUGCUGAAGAAUGAGAUGUACCUAGGAGGGUUUUUGUUGGAAGUUUAGGAGGAGGAAGCCACAAAGCCUUCGCUUCUGGUGCCUCAUUUCAGGCACCACUGGAGAGUUUCUCUUGGACAAGGAGAUUUGCAUGAAUCUCCCUGGGGAGCCCCCCAGUGUAAAUAUUAUUGCCUGCUUGGGAGAAGAGACGCGGCAGAGCCAUGUAAGGAAUAAACUUGCUCCAGGGGGAAGACUUGACUGACUU